RNAcentral lists this ribosomal RNA (397 nucleotides) under uncultured bacterium. Its description in RNAcentral is "partial 16S ribosomal RNA". It matches the Rfam family "Bacterial small subunit ribosomal RNA", at positions 523 to 918 of the family's 1533-position model. The record is from RNAcentral.
AUACGUAGGGGGCGAGCGUUGUCCGGAAUGAUUGGGCGUAAAGGGCGCGUAGGCGGCCCGGUAAGUCUGGAGUGAAAGUCCUGUUUUUAAGAUGGGAAUUGCUUUGGAUACUGUCGGGCUUGAGUGCAGGAGAGGUAAGUGGAAUUCCCAGUGUAGCGGUGAAAUGCGUAGAGAUUGGGAGGAACACCAGUGGCGAAGGCGACUUACUGGACUGUAACUGACGCUGAGGCGCGAAAGUGUGGGGAGCAAACAGGAUUAGAUACCCUGGUAGUCCACGCUGUAAACGAUGAAUGCUAGGUGUAGGAGGUAUCGACCCCUUCUGUGCCGCAGUUAACGCAAUAAGCAUUCCGCCUGGGGAGUACGGUCGCAAGAUUAAAACUCAAAGGAAUUGGCGGGG